GAGCGACCACCCCUCUGGGACAUUAGCGGCGGACGGGUGCCUACACGUGGGUAACCUGCCUCAAAGAGGGGGAUAGCCUCCCGAAAGGGAGAUUAAUACCGCAUAAAAUAUGAAGUUCGCAUGAUCUUUAUAUUAAACGGAGUAAUCCGCUUUGAGAUGGACCCGCGGCGCAUUAUCUAGUUGGUGAGGUAACAGCUCACCAAGGCGACGAUGCGUAGCCGACCUGAGAGGGUGAUCGGCCACAUUGGAACUGAUAAACGGUCCAGACUCCUACGGGAGGCAUCAGUGGGGAAUAUUGCACAAUGGGGGAAACCCUGAUGCAGCAACGCCGCGUGAGUGAUGAAGGUCUUCGGAUUGUAAAGCUCUGUCUUUGGGGACGAUAAUGACGGUACCCAAUGAGGAAGCCACGGCUAACUACGUGCCAGCAGCCGCGGUAAU
Molecule: ribosomal RNA, 438 nt
Filed under: uncultured bacterium
Lineage: Bacteria
Description: bacterial SSU rRNA
Rfam family: Bacterial small subunit ribosomal RNA
Source: RNAcentral